RNAcentral lists this ribosomal RNA (354 nucleotides) under fungal sp. 48B. RNAcentral's name for it is "eukaryotic LSU rRNA". The stretch from base 1 to 128 matches the Rfam family "5.8S ribosomal RNA", at positions 28 to 154 of the family's 154-position model. Lineage: Eukaryota; Fungi. The record is from RNAcentral.
UUGCAUCGAUGAAAGAACGCAGCGAAAUGCGAUAAGUAAUGUGAAUUGCAGAAUUCAGUGAAUCAUCGAAUCUUUGAACGCACAUUGCGCCCCUUGGUAUUCCGAGGGGCAUGCCUGUUCGAGCGUCAUUUCAACCCCUCAAGCUUCGGCUUGGUGUUGGGCCGCGCCGCUGCACCAGCAGCUGGCGGGCCUCAAAAUCAGUGGCGGUGCCGUCUCGGCUCUAAGCGUAGUAACAUCUCUCGCUCUGGAGACCUGGCGGUGGCUUGCCAGACAACCCCCAACUUUCUUUAAGGUUUGACCUCGGAUCAGGUAGGGAUACCCGCUGAACUUAAGCAUAUCAUUAAGCGGAGGAAA